RNAcentral lists this ribosomal RNA (458 nucleotides) under uncultured bacterium. Its description in RNAcentral is "partial 16S ribosomal RNA". It matches the Rfam family "Bacterial small subunit ribosomal RNA", at positions 338 to 795 of the family's 1533-position model. The record is from RNAcentral.
CCUACGGGUGGCAGCAGUGGGGAAUAUUGCACAAUGGGGGAAACCCUGAUGCAGCGACGCCGCGUGAGUGAAGAAGUAAUUCGUUACGUAAAGCUCUAUCAGCAGGGAAGAAACACUGACCUUACGGUCAGCAGACGGUACCUGAGUAAGAAGCCCCGGGUAACUACGUGCCAGCAGCCGCGGUAAUUCGUAGGGGGCAAGCGUUAUCCGGAUUUACUGGGUGUAAAGGGAGCGUAGACGGUGCGCCAAGGCUGGAGUGAAAUGCCGCGGCUUAACUGCCGAACUGCUUUGGAAACUGGCGAACUAGAGUGCGGGAGGGGUAAGCGGAAUUCCUGGUGUAGCGGUGAAAUGCGUAGAUAUUAGGCGGAACACCGGUGGCGAAGGCGGCUUACUGGUCCAUAACUGACGUUGAGGCUCGAAAGCGUGGGUAGCAAACAGGAUUAGAUACCCUAGUAGUC